CCUACGGGAGGCAGCAGUAGGGAAUAUUGCUCAAUGGGGGCAACCCUGAAGCAGCCACGCCGCGUGGAGGAUGAAGGUUUUCGGAUUGUAAACUCCUUUUGUUAGAGAAGAUAAUGACGGUAUCUAACGAAUAAGCACCGGCUAACUCCGUGCCAGCAGCCGCGGUAAUACGGAGGGUGCAAGCGUUACUCGGAAUCACUGGGCGUAAAGCGCGCGUAGGCGGGAUAGCAAGUCAGAUGUGAAAUCCUAUGGCUUAACCAUAGAACUGCAUUUGAAACUGUUAUUCUAGAGUAUGGGAGAGGUAGGUGGAAUUCUUGGUGUAGGGGUAAAAUCCGUAGAGAUCAAGAGGAAUACUCAUUGCGAAGGCGACCUGCUAGAACAUAACUGACGCUGAUGCGCGAAAGCGUGGGGAGCAAACAGGAUUAGAUACCCCAGUAGUC
RNAcentral lists this ribosomal RNA (440 nucleotides) under uncultured bacterium. Its description in RNAcentral is "partial 16S ribosomal RNA". It matches the Rfam family "Bacterial small subunit ribosomal RNA", at positions 338 to 795 of the family's 1533-position model. The record is from RNAcentral.